This is a long non-coding RNA of Oncorhynchus tshawytscha (Chinook salmon), 1387 nucleotides long. Lineage: Eukaryota; Metazoa; Chordata; Actinopteri; Salmoniformes; Salmonidae. The record is from Ensembl.
AGAGAGAGAGAGAGAGAGAGAGAGAGAGAGAGAGAGAGAGAGAGAGAGAGAGAGAGCGAGGGAGAGAGAGAGAGAGGGAGAGAGAGAGAGAGAGAGAGAGAGAGAGAGAGAGAGAGGAGAGAGAGAGGGAGAGAGAGAGAGAGAUAGAGAGAGAAAGGGUGGGAGGAGAAGCUGGGAGGAGAGUUGAAUUAAUGAAUUAAAAUGUCCUGGGUCCAGUUGAGUGACUGAACAGGCUACUUUUUCAUUUAUAAGGAGAGACAAGUGUAAACUUGAGAGAAGAGGACAAUUCAACUUCUACAUGAACCUGCGAACCAUCACAGCUCGAGAUGCAACGGGGGACAUUGCAACUAUUUUAUUACAUAAUAACUCUGUAAUGUUCAACCGGAACCGGUACAGACUGACACUUCAGUCUUAGAGAAACCAUUGAUUUGCCUUUGGUAAAUUCGGGAUUAGAUUCGUAGGCUACAGAAACUUGUUGAUUUUAACAGUUUGUAAAAAUGGUUUUAUUGUCAGGCAUGUUAGAAUUAUAAUGGCAAUAUCUCAAACUACAAUCAGGAUGGAAAUCUGUAGACAAUGAAAGUUGGGUGUCUCGUGCUCAUGCGUGUGAGAGAACUGUCAACAAGUGCGCAUUCCUCCAAUCCAUGACGUCGCACUGAGUAAAAAGUCAACAAAUAGGCAAAUUGAUCAUAACAUACAUUUUUUAAAUGUGUUUUGGGGGAUACAAACACUUUUAAAAGUCUCAAAAUUGCAUUCAACAAUUGCAACAAAAGGUAAGUGAUGACACACACAUUCUAAUUCAUGUGCCUACAUUCAGUUUGCUUUCAUUAGCUUACUAGAUCAUCAACAAUGAUUUGAUUAUUGUUAUCUUACAGAAUACGUAUGAGUUGUUAGCAGCAAAGCUAAUUGGUGAUUGUUCACCUGAGAGACGGCAGGGAGUUACAUCGAUCUGGUGGAAUAUAAAAGGGCCAGAGCUUGAUUAAAAGUUACACCUAUUAAGUUACAAAAGAGAACAGGAUGAGAACGCUAUUUAGCUUAGUACGCAAAGAGGACAAGGGCAGAGAGCACAGGUGCCCCCCACACACAGAGAACAGGAUGAGAACGCUAUUUGGCUUAGUACGCAAAGAGGACAUGGGCACAGAGCACAGGUGCCCCCUACACACAGAGAACAGGAUGAGAACGCUAUUUGGCUUAGUACGCAAAGAGGACAUGGGCACAGAGCACAGGUGCCCCCCACACACAGAGAACAGGAUGAGAACGCUAUUUAGCUUAGUACGCAAAGAGGACAUGGGCACAGAGCACAGGUGCCCCCCACACACAGAGAACAGGAUGAGAACGCUAUUUGGCUUAGUACGCAAAGAGGACAUGGGCAGAGAGUACAGGUGCCCCC